UAUAAAUGUCCUCCAGCCGUUCUACAGCACAGAGAAAAACAGUUGGAACACAAAUCAAUACUGAGCAGCUAGUCAGGGUAACAUCCAGAAUUACAAAAUAUUAGAUAUUAUUUAAAACCAGAGCAGCCAGAGAAGAAACUUUAAUGCAUUAAUAUCAUAUUUUUGGGGGCCUUCAUUUACCUUUUGAUUCAGAUAUGCAAACCCGCAUGCCUGUAGUAGUUUAGCAAAUGACUAUACAAUUAAUGUUAUGUUCAGUUAUUAGUCACACAUCGAAAAUAAAUCAUCUGUGAAAAUUUAUCCACCUCAUAUAAAAGACAGACAAAUAUAAACCUUUAGAAUUACUGGAGGUGGGUUUGGGAGUAGAGUGGCCUGCGCUAUCCAAAGCUGCUGCUUCUGAUUGCAUUUGUCUUCGUGUCAGCUGCUGGCUAAUUUCAUACUGGAGUUGGCUAUGAAGGUGCCAGGUAUCUCCAGUGCCACUCCCAACUGCUGUUUCAUUGUGGUCGCUUGGUACUAUAGACAAUGAGAGAUUGACAAUGUAAUUGAACAAUAAACUGCAUUAAAUGUGGAUGUAGAGUGUAGUUUU
Long non-coding RNA from Brienomyrus brachyistius, 583 nucleotides. RefSeq lists it as uncharacterized. The transcript has 3 exons. The record is from RefSeq and is a predicted model, not a curated record. Lineage: Eukaryota; Metazoa; Chordata; Actinopteri; Osteoglossiformes; Mormyridae.